GACGAACGCUGGCGGCGUGCUUAACACAUGCAAGUCGAACGGAGUGGCGAACGGGUGAGUAACACGUGGGUGAUCUGCCUUGCACUUCGGGAUAAGCUUGGGAAAAUGGGUCUAAUAACGGAUAGUGCAAGAUGAGCUCGCGGCCUGUCAGCUUGUUGGUGGGGUAAUGGCCUACAAAGGCGCCGACGGGUCGCCGGCCUGGGAGGGUGUACGGCCACAUGGGGACUCGGAUACGGACCAGACUCCUACGGGAGGCAGCAGUGGGGAAUAUGGCACAAUGGGCGGAAGCCUGAUGCAGCGACGCCGCGUGGGGGAUGAAGGCCUUCGGGUUGUAAACGCCUUUCGACAGGGACGCGGUACCUGUAUAAGAAGCACCGGCUAACUACGUGCCAGCAGCCGCGGUAAUUC
This 408-nucleotide ribosomal RNA is filed under the name uncultured bacterium. RNAcentral describes it as "partial 16S ribosomal RNA". It matches the Rfam family "Bacterial small subunit ribosomal RNA", at positions 28 to 526 of the family's 1533-position model. The record is from RNAcentral.